AGGAGCAACAGCCCUAGUGGCGGGGCCAGCUCUGGAAACCUGGAUUCAGCUCCGGCAAGAACUCCGGAGCUCUCCGUCUGCAGGGCCUGGAGGCUCCCGGGCGGG
RNAcentral lists this microRNA precursor (105 nucleotides) under Canis lupus familiaris (dog). RNAcentral's name for it is "mir-8834 microRNA precursor family". It matches the Rfam family "mir-8834 microRNA precursor family". RNAcentral also lists the same sequence under 1 other name. The record is from Rfam by way of RNAcentral. Lineage: Eukaryota; Metazoa; Chordata; Mammalia; Carnivora; Canidae.